Molecule: ribosomal RNA, 399 nt
Filed under: uncultured bacterium
Lineage: Bacteria
Description: bacterial SSU rRNA
Rfam family: Bacterial small subunit ribosomal RNA
Source: RNAcentral
GGAAUAUUGCACAAUGGGGGAAACCCUGACGCAGCGACGCCGCGUGAGCGAAGAAGUAUUUUGGUAUGUAAAGCUCUAUCAGCAGGGAAGAAAAUGACGGUACCUGACAAAGAAGCGCCGGCUAAAUACGUGCCAGCAGCCGCGGUAAUACGUAUGGAGCAAGCGUUAUCCGGAUUUACGGGGUGUAAAGGGAGCGCAGGCGGCUUUGCAAGUCUGAUGUGAAAGGCCGGGGCUCAACCCCGGGACUGCAUUGGAAACUGUAAAGCUAGAGUGCCGGAGAGGUAAGCGGAAUUCCUAGUGUAGCGGUGAAAUGCGUAGAUAUUAGGAGGAACACCAGUGGCGAAGGCGGCUUACUGGACGGCAACUGACGCUGAGGCUCGAAAGCGUGGGGAGCAAACA